UUUAUUAAAUUGUUUUCACUUUGAUCCCUGAGUGUUUGUGCCCAUUACUGGUCUGAUAAGCCCACACUAUUAUCUGCCUCACAGUUGUUAAUAAUUUAAUUAAUAUAUCUUUUUUAAUUUUUAUAUGCUGAGUAUAGAUGAGUUAAGGAGAUAGAGUUCCUUGAUUAAAAAUAAAUUCAGGAAAUUCUUCUUUACCAUAUACUAUAUUAACUUUGUAUGUAGAAAAUAAUUUCAAAAUUGAAACUGAAAAUUUUUCUUCCAGAUACUUUCUAAAUUAUUCUGAUUUAACUAAUGUUUGAACAUGAAGUGAAUCAAAUACAGCAAAAACUUUCUUGUGCUUUUUAAGAUGUAGUUGUAUUAUUGACAGUAGAAAAAAUAUUGUCAUCUUAGUAUCUUUGUUUUUAGUAUACAUAAAUUAAAAAUUAGAUAUCAAAUUUGUCUUAGACAGCCAUUUUUGAAAUAUAUUUGCAAGUAUGGAUGUAAAACAUUUUCAAAUAGUUGAUAGUAAAUCAACUGGUUGAUAAUUUUCAAGGUCAUUUUUAUCUCCUAUUUUUUAAUAAAUCAUAUAUCAAACAAAUGUAGUCAAAAUCUGAUAUUAAGAACAAAUCUUUUUAAAUUUAUUUAUUUAUUUUUGCUCAGGACGGCUUGAGGUAAUCCAAGACUUAUGGAGUUGUGCAGUGUGCUACAUUAAAGUGUCCAGGUGAACAUUUUGAGUUACCUAAAUAUGUCGUCCUGGACCUUUUGAGGCAUGACACUGGAAUACCUGAGAGUCAACUAGGGUUGUAUUACUGGACAUAUCAAAUGAAUGAAAGGCCAGAUUAUCAAGACUGUACUAUAUUAUCAAAAUAAAAAACAGGUAUGACUUACCAACAUAAAAAAAUUAAACAUUUAAAUUAUAUAAUAAUGUAAUAAACAAUCAUUAGUAUAAUAAAAAGUUUAUGAAUAGUUAGGGAGAGCUGUUUUGCAGGAGACUGGAUAUGUUUUUAGCACAUCAAACUAUAAUUUCUGGCAGCAAACAUUGUGGUGGUGGUGGUGGUGGCACAACUUGGCAUGCAUUAUUUCAGAAGUGUGAUUUUCAACUUUCUGGUCAUCAUUACAUUUAAACAAAACAGUAAAAAAUUUAUACUGUAUAUAAUAAAUUAAAUUACUAGUAAAUUAAAACAAAUAUAUUGAUAUUUUUAUAAGUUGACAUCUGAAUAAAAAUGAAAUGAAUUGAAACUGAGGUGUCCACAACCCCAAUCUAAUGAACAUGACCUGAUGUAAGAAAAGAAGUUGGGGAUUCAAAUCCCAGCAUUGUAUAGAUGGAUGGCCAGAUGGCAGAGGCAUUAAAGACAUCAACCUACUACUCUGGGCUUUCCAAGAUUAAAUUGGGACAAUCAAAAACCUCCAAGAAUUUUUCAGGGGUGAUCUAUCCCAGAUAUAUCAGGCCCUGUCCCUCGUCAUCCAGCCACCAUAUUGUGAGUUUUGUCAGAUCCACAAUGACUUGAUAUAAAAGUCUUCCAAUGCCACAGGACAAAGAAAGCAAAAGAGUAAAAAAUGAAAAAAGAAAGUAUUGUGUAAAAAGUUGCUCUUAAAAUUAAAUGUUGUUUUGUGAUUAA
This 1598-nucleotide long non-coding RNA is filed under the name Centruroides sculpturatus (bark scorpion). RNAcentral describes it as "uncharacterized LOC111626468". Lineage: Eukaryota; Metazoa; Arthropoda; Arachnida; Scorpiones; Buthidae. The record is from RNAcentral.